Molecule: ribosomal RNA, 253 nt
Filed under: uncultured bacterium
Lineage: Bacteria
Description: partial 16S ribosomal RNA
Rfam family: Bacterial small subunit ribosomal RNA
Source: RNAcentral
UACGUAGGGGGCAAGCGUUGUCCGGAAUCAUUGGGCGUAAAGAGCGUGUAGGCGGCCAGAUAAGUCCGCUGUGAAAUCUCGAGGCUCAACUUCGAGCUGUCGGUGGAAACUGUCUGGCUAGAGUCCGGAAGAGGAGAAUGGAAUUCCUGGUGUAGCGGUGAAAUGCGCAGAUAUCAGGAGGAACACCUAUGGCGAAGGCAGCUCGCUGGGACGGUACUGACGCUGAGACGCGAAAGCGUGGGGAGCGAACAGG